GAUGAACGCUGGCGGCGUGCUUAACACAUGCAAGUCGAACGGAAAGGCCGAAGCUUGCUUCGGUACUCGAGUGGCGAACGGGUGAGUAACACGUGGGUGAUCUGCCCUGUACUUCGGGAUAGGCUUGGGAAACUGGGUCUAAUACCGGAUAUGACGAUCUCUUGGAUGGGGUUGUGGAAAGCUUUUGCGGUAUGGGAUGAGCUCGCGGCCUAUCAGCUUGUUGGUGGGGUAAUGGCCUACCAAGGCGUCGACGGGUAGCCGGCCUGAGAGGGUGUACGGCCACAUUGGGACUGAGAUACGGCCCAGACUCCUACGGGAGGCAGCAGGGGGGAAUAUUGCACAAUGGGCGCAAGCCUGAUGCAGCGACGCCGCGUGGGGGAUGACGGCCUUCGGGUUGUAAACUCCUUUCGCAAUCGACGAAGCCUUUUGGUGACGGUAGGUUGAGAAGAAGCACCGGCUAACUACGUG
This 468-nucleotide ribosomal RNA is filed under the name uncultured bacterium. RNAcentral's name for it is "partial 16S ribosomal RNA". It matches the Rfam family "Bacterial small subunit ribosomal RNA", at positions 28 to 507 of the family's 1533-position model. The record is from RNAcentral.